Molecule: long non-coding RNA, 390 nt
Organism: Helianthus annuus (common sunflower)
Lineage: Eukaryota; Viridiplantae; Streptophyta; Magnoliopsida; Asterales; Asteraceae
Exons: 3
Source: RefSeq, a predicted model, not a curated record
UUCUAGAGGAGCCAGGAGCUCUCAUCUUGAAACCCUAACAAGCUAAAAUUCAAGCAAUUGGAAGGGCAAAUCACACCCAAAUUGAAAUCCAAGCAUGGAUUAGUGAUCACCUCAGUGAAAUGAUCAUAAGAUUGACGCCUAACGAGCUAGGUGGAGGCUUGGGAAAGGAAGCAGGUCAAACAAAUCUAGAAUGGAGGAAAAGCAUAAUUCGGAUGCUAGGUAUUAUAUACAAUACCGGGGGACGAUCAAGCUCAACGAAGAACGGAACACGAUCAAGUUCAAGCUUCCGCGUAUUAUUACGUUGUCGUUUUGAACGACGAAUUCAAUCACAUUGUGUUGUUUUGUUUUAAUGCUAAGUAAAGUUUAAAUAAACCCGUAUUGUGAUUGGUA